GUGGCAUACGCAUAUACACACAUGCAGACACCUCUCAUAUACACAAAAAUAGAUUAGUUCUCAAUUUCUUUUAUUGUUUUGAGACAGAGUCUUACUGUGUAGCUCUGGAUGACCUUGAAAACUCUAUCCUCCUGCGUCAGCUUCUCUAGUUCUGGGAUUAUUGACAUGAACACAAAUGAUGACUCAAACUUAGCAUCUUUGUUUUCUCAGAGUAUUUUUUGUUUGUUGAGACAAGGCCUUGCUGUGUAGCCCAAAUGGACUCAAAUCCUCUGUCCCCAGCUUCCUAAAUGCUGGGAUUAAGGUCUGUGCUAAUUUGCCUCCCUCCUCAGUGUUUUUGAGUUUCAUGGAAACCCUUGGAAUUUAGAGGCCAGAAAGACUCCUAUUUGUGAUCUGAAAAAGAGAUUAGAAUGUAUCGUUAGCACAUAUGUACUUCAUAGCUGCCAUGCUCAUCCACACACCUAACCAUAUUCUUGGCAUUUGUUUAGAUGCCUGCUGCCUCCAUCCUAACCCUCACCUCACAGGUGUCUUCCUCUGUCCAACUCCCCUGCAUGGAGCCACAGUCAGGUGUCCUUAUUACUCUCAUGCCUCAUUCCCCUUGGCUCUGAAGCCACUGCAGUUGCUUUGUAGACAGGGUCUCACUAUGUAGCCAUGGCUGGCCAGGAACUCUCUAUGUAAGCCAGACUGGACUCAAAGACCAGCUAGCCUUUGCCUCUUGAAGGCUUUGCCACCACACCUUGCUGCCCAUACUUAAAGACCUUUAGUGUCCUGGCUCUACCCUGUUCGUUUUGUUAACCACACACCUUCCAUAUUCUAUAGAGGCAUAUCCUUUCACUGCCACACUGUUUCAUUCAGUCCACCUCCUGGUUCUUAGUUCUUAUGUUGCAUCCCUUUCCUUUAUUUUGAGACACGGCCUUGAUACGUAGCCCAGGUUGGCCCCAUAGUCCCCUGCCGCAGCCUCCCAUUACUGGAGUUGCAGACAUAUACCACCAAGCCUGUCUUCCUUUUCCCUUCUUAUGCAUGUUUUGCUUUCCAGACCCAGGUGUGGGGAUGCAGCUCCGUGGUAGAACCUUGCAAGUAUGAGGCCAUAGGAUUGAUUCCCAGCAUUGCAAUAGUGAUGAUGAUGAUGAUGAUGAUGAUGAUGAUGAUGAUGAUGAUAACAAUGAUGUGCCCUUGGAAGCCAGAGGAGGGCAUCAGAUUCAUUGGAAUUGGAGUUAGAGAUGGUUGCAAUCUACCAUGUCAGUGUUGGGAAUUGAACCCAGGUCCUCUGGAAAACCCCUGAGCCAUCUCUCCAGUCCCAUAGCAAUUAUUCCAAAGAGACAAGCAGGGAAGCCGUGGGAUGGGAGUGCCUUGCUGUGUUCCUAAUUAUGUGGUAGAAUUUUCCUUGCUGCUGUCCCUCUGCUUUAACUGGUUAGCUGGCGGCCAGCGGUCCAACAUCACCCGCCUCACGACCAUCUGCAGGAAGACCAUCACUUGGUGUAUUGCUGGUGAUGGAGGAGUGAGUCAGAACAUAUCCCUGCACUGCGGCCCACUAAGCUGCCAGCGUGGGACCCCGUUUUGAGAUCACAUAAGGAUGCACCUCUGCCAAGUGUUGCCUGUUCCAGUGUAAGGUGAUCAGAGCUCUGGAACCCACCAGUGAUGACUUUCAGUGGAUGUUCUCAGCGUUAAAUAAAAUCUAAAAGUCAUGAGCACCUGGCUUACUUUUCAGUUGUCAUCGGUGUGUGAAGUGGUGCGGGAGGAGUGGGCAGCUUUGGAGUCUGCAGAAGGCAUCCGUUGCUGGGGGUGAGGAACUCAAUUUCAAAGAUAGACACAUUUGACUGUAAACCUGACUAUAUGACCUCGAGAAUGCGGGUUCUUGGAUCUGAAUUCUUUAACAGAGUAGGAAGAAGAUACCAUACUUUCUUGCUGUGAGUCUACAU
This 1916-nucleotide long non-coding RNA is filed under the name Cricetulus griseus (Chinese hamster). RNAcentral describes it as "lncRNA (ENSCGRG00015029100.1)". Lineage: Eukaryota; Metazoa; Chordata; Mammalia; Rodentia; Cricetidae. The record is from RNAcentral.